AGAAAAUGGAAACUCUGAUGGCGAUUUCAGUUCAUCCAAUGGUGAGAGCUCUUCUGUAGAUGAGCAGCAAAUGUCAGUGGUAAAUUUGAAGAAUAGUGAUGCAGUGGAUGAACCGAAGGAGGAUAUUACUGUUGGUGUGGAGUGUGAUAACUUAUUGGUUACCGAAGCUAAGGAACUUACUAUCUCAGGAAUUGAUGAGUCAAAGGAUGAUACUUCUGUUGAUAUAGA
RNAcentral lists this unclassified non-coding RNA (228 nucleotides) under Hevea brasiliensis (rubber tree). The record is from RNAcentral. Lineage: Eukaryota; Viridiplantae; Streptophyta; Magnoliopsida; Malpighiales; Euphorbiaceae.